GGCAGGCCUAACACAUGCAAGUCGAACGGUAACAGGAAGCAGCUUGCUGCUUUGCUGACGAGUGGCGGACGGGUGAGUAAUGUCUGGGAAACUGCCUGAUGGAGGGGGAUAACUACUGGAAACGGUGGCUAAUACCGCAUAACGUCGCAAGACCAAAGAGGGGGACCUUCGGGCCUCUUGCCAUCAGAUGUGCCCAGAUGGGAUUAGCUUGUUGGUGAGGUAACGGCUCACCAAGGCGACGAUCCCUAGCUGGUCUGAGAGGAUGACCAGCCACACUGGAACUGAGACACGGUCCAGACUCCUACGGGAGGCAGCAGUGGGGAAUAUUGCACAAUGGGCGCAAGCCUGAUGCAGCCAUGCCGCGUGUAUGAAGAAGGCCUUCGGGUUGUAAAGUACUUUCAGCGGGGAGGAAGGUGUUGUGGUUAAUAACCGCAGCAAUUGACGUUACCCGCAGAAGAAGCACCGGCUAACUCCGUGCCAGCAGCCGCGGUAAUACGGAGGGUGCAAGCGUUAAUCGGAAUUACUGGGCGUAAAGCGCACGCAGGCGGUCUGUCAAGUCGGAUGUGAAAUCCCCGGGCUCAACCUGGGAACUGCAUUCGAAACUGGCAGGCUUGAGUCUUGUAGAGGGGGGUAGAAUUCCAGGUGUAGCGGUGAAAUGCGUAGAGAUCUGGAGGAAUACCGGUGGCGAAGGCGGCCCCCUGGACAAAGACUGACGCUCAGGUGCGAAAGCGUGGGGAGCAAACAGGAUUAGAUACCCUGGUAGUCCACGCCGUAAACGAUGUCUACUUGGAGGUUGUGCCCUUGAGGCGUGGCUUCCGGAGCUAACGCGUUAAGUAGACCGCCUGGGGAGUACGGCCGCAAGGUUAAAACUCAAAUGAAUUGACGGGGGCCCGCACAAGCGGUGGAGCAUGUGGUUUAAUUCGAUGCAACGCGAAGAACCUUACCUGGUCUUGACAUCCACAGAAGAAUCCAGAGAUGGAUUUGUGCCUUCGGGAACUGUGAGACAGGUGCUGCAUGGCUGUCGUCAGCUCGUGUUGUGAAAUGUUGGGUUAAGUCCCGCAACGAGCGCAACCCUUAUCCUUUGUUGCCAGCGGUUAGGCCGGGAACUCAAAGGAGACUGCCAGUGAUAAACUGGAGGAAGGUGGGGAUGACGUCAAGUCAUCAUGGCCCUUACGACCAGGGCUACACACGUGCUACAAUGGCGCAUACAAAGAGAAGCGACCUCGCGAGAGCAAGCGGACCUCAUAAAGUGCGUCGUAGUCCGGAUUGGAGUCUGCAACUCGACUCCAUGAAGUCGGAAUCGCUAGUAAUCGUGGAUCAGAAUGCCACGGUGAAUACGUUCCCGGGCCUUGUACACACCGCCCGUCACACCAUGGGAGUGGGUUGCAAAAGAAGUAGGUAGCUUAACCUUCGGGAGGGCGCUUACCACUUUGUGAUUCAUGACUGGGGUGAAGUCGUAACAAGGUAACCGUAGGGGAACCUGCGGUUGGAUCACCUCCUUACCUUAAAGAAGC
RNAcentral lists this ribosomal RNA (1514 nucleotides) under Salmonella enterica subsp. enterica serovar Enteritidis. Its description in RNAcentral is "bacterial SSU rRNA". It matches the Rfam family "Bacterial small subunit ribosomal RNA". Lineage: Bacteria; Pseudomonadati; Pseudomonadota; Gammaproteobacteria; Enterobacterales; Enterobacteriaceae. The record is from RNAcentral.